GCAUGGCGCAUGCGUACACAGUGCAGUCGAGCGGAUGAAGGGAGCUUGCUCCUGGAUUCAGCGGCGGACGGGUGAGUAAUGCCUAGGAAUCUGCCUGGUAGUGGGGGAUAACGUCCGGAAACGGGCGCUAAUACCGCAUACGUCCUGAGGGAGAAAGUGGGGGAUCUUCGGACCUCACGCUAUCAGAUGAGCCUAGGUCGGAUUAGCUAGUUGGUGGGGUAAAGGCCUACCAAGGCGACGAUCCGUAACUGGUCUGAGAGGAUGAUCAGUCACACUGGAACUGAGACACGGUCCAGACUCCUACGGGAGGCAGCAGUGGGGAAUAUUGGACAAUGGGCGAAAGCCUGAUCCAGCCAUGCCGCGUGUGUGAAGAAGGUCUUCGGAUUGUAAAGCACUUUAAGUUGGGAGGAAGGGCAGUAAGUUAAUACCUUGCUGUUUUGACGUUACCAACAGAAUAAGCACCGGCUAACUUCGUGCCAGCAGCCGCGGUAAUACGAAGGGUGCAAGCGUUAAUCGGAAUUACUGGGCGUAAAGCGCGCGUAGGUGGUUCAGCAAGUUGGAUGUGAAAUCCCCGGGCUCAACCUG
Molecule: ribosomal RNA, 585 nt
Filed under: Pseudomonas aeruginosa
Lineage: Bacteria; Pseudomonadati; Pseudomonadota; Gammaproteobacteria; Pseudomonadales; Pseudomonadaceae
Description: bacterial SSU rRNA
Rfam family: Bacterial small subunit ribosomal RNA
Source: RNAcentral